This 1064-nucleotide ribosomal RNA is filed under the name uncultured Thermoplasmatales archaeon. RNAcentral's name for it is "bacterial SSU rRNA". It matches the Rfam family "Archaeal small subunit ribosomal RNA", at positions 368 to 1424 of the family's 1478-position model. The record is from RNAcentral. Lineage: Archaea; Methanobacteriati; Thermoplasmatota; Thermoplasmata; Thermoplasmatales.
CGACACCGGAAACCUGAGGUGCCUUGAACAUUUGUCAAGGGCUUUUUCUUAAGCCUAAAAAGCAUAAAGGAAUAAGAGCUGGGCAAGGACGGGUGCCAGCCGCCGCGGUAACAACCCGCAGCUCGAGUGGUGGUCACUUUUUAUUGAGCCUAAAGCGUUUGUAGCCGGUUUUGCAAAAUCUUCAGAUAAAUUCCUCUGCUUAACAGAUGAUCUUCUGAAGAGACUGCGAGACUUGGGACCGGGUGAGGUUGAAGGUACUUCCGGGGUAGGGGUAAAAAUCCUGUAAUCCUGGAAGGACGACCGGUGGCGAAGGCGUUCAACUAGAACGGAUCCGACGGUGAGGAACGAGGGCUAGGGUAGCAAACCGGAUUAGAUACCCGGGUAGUCCUAGCUGUAAACACUGCCCACUUGGUGUUGCCCCUCCGAUGAGGGGAGGCAGUGCCGGAGCGAAGGUGUUAAGUGGGCCGCUUGGGGAGUAUGGUCGCAAGGCUGAAACUUAAAGGAAUUGGCGGGGGAGCACCGCAACGGGAGGAGCGUGCGGUUUAAUUGGAUUCAACGCCGGAAAACUCACCGGGAGCGACCUUUGGAUGAGAGUCAGCCUGAUGAGCUUACUCGAUAGAAGGAGAGGUGGUGCAUGGCCGUCGUCAGCUCGUACCGUAGGGCGUUCACUUAAGUGUGAUAACGAGCGAGACCCCCAUCUCUAAUUGCUAACGUGCAUUCGCGUGCACGCGCACUUUAGAGGGACCGCCAGUGCUAAACUGGAGGAAGGAGGGGUCGACGGCAGGUCAGUACGCCCCGAAUCUCCCGGGCAACACGCGCGCUACAAAGGGCAGGACAAUGAGUUGCCACCUCGAAAGGGGGAGCUAACCUCGAAACCUGUUCGUAGUUAGGAUUGAGGGCUGUAACUCGCCCUCAUGAAUGUGGAUUCCGUAGUAAUCGCGGGUCAACAGCCCGCGGUGAAUAUGCCCCUGCUCCUUGCACACACCGCCCGUCAAACCAUCCGAGCUGGUGCUGGAUGAGGGUAUGCUCUUAUGGGCAAACUCAAAAUCUAUGUCCUGAUUGGU